This 26-nucleotide non-coding RNA is filed under the name Mus musculus (house mouse). RNAcentral also lists the same sequence under 1 other name. Lineage: Eukaryota; Metazoa; Chordata; Mammalia; Rodentia; Muridae. The record is from RNAcentral.
UGCCAAGGUCAGGAGAAGCCAUUCAA